AUACAGAGGGUGCAAGCGUUAAUCGGAAUUACUGGGCGUAAAGCGCGCGUAGGUGGUUUGUUAAGUUGGAUGUGAAAGCCCCGGGCUCAACCUGGGAACUGCAUUCAAAACUGACAAGCUAGAGUAUGGUAGAGGGUGGUGGAAUUUCCUGUGUAGCGGUGAAAUGCGUAGAUAUAGGAAGGAACACCAGUGGCGAAGGCGACCACCUGGACUGAUACUGACACUGAGGUGCGAAAGCGUGGGGAGC
Molecule: ribosomal RNA, 247 nt
Filed under: uncultured bacterium
Lineage: Bacteria
Description: partial 16S ribosomal RNA
Rfam family: Bacterial small subunit ribosomal RNA
Source: RNAcentral